This 1442-nucleotide ribosomal RNA is filed under the name uncultured organism. Its description in RNAcentral is "16S ribosomal RNA". It matches the Rfam family "Bacterial small subunit ribosomal RNA". The record is from RNAcentral.
CUCAUGACGAACGCUGGCGGCGUGCUUAACACAUGCAAGUCGAACGGAAAGGCCCUGCUUUUGUGGGGUGCUCGAGUGGCGAACGGGUGAGUAACACGUGAGUAACCUGCCCUUGACUUUGGGAUAACUUCAGGAAACUGGGGCUAAUACCGGAUAGGAGCUCCUGCUGCAUGGUGGGGGUUGGAAAGUUUCGGCGGUUGGGGAUGGACUCGCGGCUUAUCAGCUUGUUGGUGGGGUAGUGGCUUACCAAGGCUUUGACGGGUAGCCGGCCUGAGAGGGUGACCGGCCACAUUGGGACUGAGAUACGGCCCAGACUCCUACGGGAGGCAGCAGUGGGGAAUAUUGCACAAUGGGCGGAAGCCUGAUGCAGCAACGCCGCGUGCGGGAUGACGGCCUUCGGGUUGUAAACCGCUUUCGCCUGUGACGAAGCGUGAGUGACGGUAAUGGGUAAAGAAGCACCGGCUAACUACGUGCCAGCAGCCGCGGUGAUACGUAGGGUGCGAGCGUUGUCCGGAUUUAUUGGGCGUAAAGGGCUCGUAGGUGGUUGAUCGCGUCGGAAGUGUAAUCUUGGGGCUUAACCCUGAGCGUGCUUUCGAUACGGGUUGACUUGAGGAAGGUAGGGGAGAAUGGAAUUCCUGGUGGAGCGGUGGAAUGCGCAGAUAUCAGGAGGAACACCAGUGGCGAAGGCGGUUCUCUGGGCCUUUCCUGACGCUGAGGAGCGAAAGCGUGGGGAGCGAACAGGCUUAGAUACCCUGGUAGUCCACGCUGUAAACGGUGGGUACUAGGUGUGGGGUCCAUUCCACGGGUUCCGUGCCGUAGCUAACGCUUUAAGUACCCCGCCUGGGGAGUACGGCCGCAAGGCUAAAACUCAAAGGAAUUGACGGGGCCCCGCACAAGCGGCGGAGCAUGCGGAUUAAUUCGAUGCAACGCGUAGAACCUUACCUGGGUUUGACAUGGAUCGGGAGUGCUCAGAGAUGGGUGUGCCUCUUUUGGGGUCGGUUCACAGGUGGUGCAUGGCUGUCGUCAGCUCGUGUCGUGAGAUGUUGGGUUAAGUCCCGCAACGAGCGCAACCCUUGUUCACUGUUGCCAGCACGUUAUGGUGGGGACUCAGUGGAGACCGCCGGGGUCAACUCGGAGGAAGGUGGGGAUGACGUCAAGUCAUCAUGCCCCUUAUGUCCAGGGCUUCACGCAUGCUACAAUGGCUGGUACAGAGAGUGGCGAGCCUGUGAGGGUGAGCGAAUCUCGGAAAGCCGGUCUCAGUUCGGAUUGGGGUCUGCAACUCGACCUCAUGAAGUCGGAGUCGCUAGUAAUCGCAGAUCAGCAACGCUGCGGUGAAUACGUUCCCGGGGCUUGUACACACCGCCCGUCAAGUCAUGAAAGUUGGUAACACCCGAAGCCGGUGGCCUAACCGUUGUGGGGGAGCCGUCGAAGGUGGGACUGGU